UGAAUAAGCCCUCACAAGUGCUGCACUUGAUCGAUCAAAUCCAACGCUUGGGAAUUUUCUACCAUUUCAAACGUGAAAUAGACGAGCAAUUAGAACAAAUCCAUAAAAGUUACUCUCGACUUGUGUACAGAGAUUUUAAGGGCGAUCACCUUCACAUGAUUGCUCUUAUCUUUCGAUUACUACGACAACAAGGUUAUAAUGUUUCAUCAGGUAUGUUUCAAAUUUAGUUAACCAAUCCGAUAAGAUACCCAAAGAAAUCCUUCUUUCGAAAAUUAAUGCCACACAGUUUACUGCUGCUAAGUCAAAUUUUAGGAGAAACAAGACUAGGCAUGUCAUCUUUCUAAUUUGUAAUAGACUGCAUCUUUUUUCCCCACAUUGGUUUUGGUUGCACAGAGGUUUUUAACAAAUUCAAGGAUGGCGAAGGGAACUUUAGAGAAUCGCUGAUCACCGAUGUACAAGGACUUCUAAGUCUAUAUGAAGCUUGCCAUUUAAGGUGCCACGGUGAUUCUAUUUUGGAAGAAGCACUUCUUUUUGCUAUUACUCACCUUGAAUCGCUCAAUGAAAGCAAAGUAAGCACUAGUCUUGCGAAACAAGUGAAGCAUGCCCUAAGGCAGCCACUUCACAAGGGGUUGCCAAGGCUUGAGGCAAGGCGUUAUGUUCCACUCUACCAAGAGGAGCCUUCACAUGACCAAGUCUUGCUUGCCUUGGCUAAAUUAGAUUUCAACUUACUGCAAGAGCAACACCAGAAGGAACUCGGCAAUAUUACAAGGUUAAUCAACUUCAUGUGACAACAUAAUUUAGAAUUAGCUUCCAGACCAAAGGUUUACUCUUCUAAUUUCAAUUUAUCCUUCUAAAGAGUGUUUUUGAAAGUCUUUUGCAAGAGAAGAAAAAGGAGUUUAAACUAUAUGAAUUGGUCAAGAAAAAGUACUUUCGAUUUCACUCCUAUCUGUUCAAUCAUAGGUGGUGGAAGGAUAUAGAUGUUGCGAGGAAGUUCCCAUUUGCUAGAGACAGGAUUGUGGAGUUGUUCUUCUGGAUCUCAGGAGCAUAUUUUGAGCCGAAGUUUGCCGUGGCCAGAGAUAUACUCACCAAAGUGAUCGCUCUAACAUCCAUUCUUGACGAUAUGUACGACGUCUACGGCACGUUGGAAGAACUUGUAAUCCUCACAGAAGCAAUUGAGAAGUCUGUAAUCCAUUCUUUUUCUCAAACUUCUGAAUUUGAUUGAUUUCAUAAAGAGCCGUGUGUGUCAUGUUUUUGGGCACUCGAAUAUAGGUGGGAUGUUGAUGCCAUGGAUGGACUACCAGAGUAUAUGCAAGCUUGGUACAAGGUGCUUCUCGAUGUCUAUGAUGCAGUAGGGAAUGAAGUGGCCACGAAGGAAAGAUCGUACCGCCUCACCUAUGCGAAAGAAGCCGUAAGCAUCAUGGAUAAACUUUGCAUGCAACGAACACAAUUCUUAAAUAGAUACCCUAACAUUCUUGUUUAUAUAUAAUUCUCAGAUGAAGAAGCAAGCAAGAGUGUACUUUCACGAAGCCAAAUGGUUCCAUACCAACUACACACCAACGCUAGAGGAGUACAUGCCCCUUGCAUUAUUAACAACUGGCUAUGAAAUGUUAGCAAUCACGUCGCUUGUGGGAAUGGGCGAUGUGGUCACAAAACAUGCUUUUGAAUGGUUGCUUGGCGACUGCAAGAUCUUGAAGGCUUCACAAAUCAUCUGUCGGCUCAUGGAUGACAUUGCCUCUCACCAGGUUUGAUAAAAAAAAGUUAUAAUCCUCUAAUAAUCUAAUAAGAUCAGAUCGACCACCCCUUAGUCGAAGAUAAUGUCGAUAUAAUAACACCCUUUCGUUCAACGUGCAGUUUGAGCAAAAGAGGGGACACGUAGCAUCUUCAGUGGAGUUGUUCAUGAAAGAACACGACGUUUCGGAGCAGGAAACCGAAAAGGAAUUGCACAAACGAGUGGUUGAUGCAUGGAAGGACAUUAAUGAGGCGUUUCUUCGUCCGACUGCAGUUCCAAUGCCAAUUCUAAUGCGAAUUCUCAAUCUCUCACGAGUGAUUCAUGUGUUGUAUAGCGAUGGAGAUAACUACACGCAUUCUGGAGCCUUGCUCAAAGAUCACGUGACAUCUCUCUUCAUUAGCCCCUUACCAGUGUCACAUCUCUCAAGAGGAGCACAAGAAGGAACUCGGCAAGAUUACGGGUAACGUCUCUUAAAGAUCGUGUGACGUAUCUUCUCACUACGUAAAGAUUUGAAAUCAGAUUGAUGGGAAUAAGAACGCUUCAAGUGCCAAAAGUUGGCACAAAGGGACACUUAAGUGCCAAAAUUUACGAAAGGUACACUUAAGUGCCACAUUCGAAAAAAAACGGAUCACUAAAGUGCCACUUCGGCCAAAAGGCUGACGUGGCAUUUUUCCGACGAAUUUCCGGCGAAAUGAACCCAAAACGACGCCGUUUUGCACGCUGACGUGGCAAAUAAUGCAAAAACGGCGUCGUUUUGGGCUGACGUAAUAAAAAAAUAAUAAAUAAAUUAAAUAAAUUAAAUUUAAAAUUAGAUUUAGUUAAAAUAUUAAAAAAUAAAAAUUUUAAAAUUAGAUUUAGUUAAAAUAUUUAAAAAAUAAUAAAUUUAAAAUUAAAUUUAGUCAAAAUAUUAAAAAAUAAUAAGUUUAAAGUUAAGAAAAAUAUAAGGAAUAAUUCCAAAUAAUAAUUAAUUUAAAAUUACAUUUAUUUAAAAUAUUGAAAAAAAUAAUAAUUUUUUAAAAUUAAAUUUAGUUAAAUUUUAAAAAUAAUAAUUUUAAAAUUAAAAAAUUUAAAUAAUUAAAAAAAAUAAUUUUCAAAUGAGAUUUAGUUAAAAAUUUAAAAAAAUUAAAAUUAAAAUUAGUUAAAAUUUUUAUAAAAUAAAAUUUUUAAAAAAAUAAAAUUUAUAAAAAUAAAAAAAUAAUUUUAAAAUUAUUUUUAGUUAAAAUAUUUUUAAAAAAUAAUUUUAAAAUUAAAUUUAGCUAAAAUAUUAAAAAUAAUAAUUUUAAAAUUAAAAAAAUUUAAAAAAAGGGGGGGCGAUGGCUAAGGCUCCCUCACCCCCUUUUUAUUAAUUUUAUUAAUUUUAUUAAUUUUUUUUUAAAUUUUUUAAUUUUUAAGUUAUAAUUUUUUAAUAUUUUGCUAAAUUUAAUUUAAAAUUAUUAUUUUUUAAUAUUUGUACUAAAUCUAAUUUAAAAUUAUUAUUUUUUAUUUUAAAAAAAUUUAUUUUAAAAUUUUUAAUUUUUAAUAUUUUAACUAAAUUAAAUUUUAAAUUAUUUUUUAAAAUUUUUAACUAAAUCUAAUUUUAAUUUUUUUAAUUUUUUUAAUUUUUAAUUUUAAAAUUAUUAUUUUUUAAUAUUUUAACUAAAUUUAAUUUUAAAAUUAUUAUUUUUUCAAUAUUUUAACUAAAUAUAAUUUUAAAUUAAUUAUUUUUGAAUUAUUUUUAAAAUUUUUAAUUUUAAAAUUUUUAAUUUUUAAGUAUUUUAACUAAAUUUAAUUUUAAAAUUAUUAUUUUAUAAAUAUUCUGACUAAAUCUAAUUUUAAAAUUAUCAUUUUUUAAUAUUUUAACUAAAUCUAAUUUUAAAUUUAAUUUAAUUAAUUAAUUUAUUAUUUUUUUAUCCCAUGAGUCCAAAACGACGCCGUUUUUGCAUUAUUUGGCCAUGUCAGCAUGCAAAACGGCGUCGUUUUUGGCUCGGUUCACCGGAAAAAUGCCACGUCGGCAUUUUGGCCGGAUUUUGGCCGGAUUGGCACUCAAGUGAUCCAUUUUGCUCCGAUUUUGGCACUUAAGUGUACCUUUCGUAACUUUUGGCACUUAAGUGUCCCUUUGUGCCAACUUUUGGCACUCCAGGGGUCCUUGUCCCCAGAUUGAUGGCAUGCAUUUCUUUCGUCCAGCGGCAAAUGAAGACGCCAUGAGAAAGAAGCAAGAGAAAGGAAAACAAGCGAUGGAGCGGUUGUGAACAAUAUGGGAAUCGUUAGUUUAUCAAGAUCUUCAACAAAGAGGAAAAUCGACCAGAAGUAGUUGUUCCAAGAGUUGGAAAUUCCAAUGCUUUAGUAGUUUGUGUUUAUAUUGUACUCCUGAAUAUAGGAUCAAGAGAUGGAGCUUUUUUAUUUUCUAAUAGUGCUUAAGAUGUGGCAAUGAUACUGUUAAGAUCACAAGCAUUCUGAGGAAGAGCUUUUUGUGUGGGUGUGAUUUUAUCGAGAAAUGAUGUAACGUGUAAUGCUUCCCUAAUGAUCAUUAUGGCAAGGCCAUGUCCACAAUAACAAGGCAAGCUUCUUUAGAGGCAUGACAUGAAUAUUCUUUCCACCUAUUCGGCAGAUCUGUCAGUGGAAAAUUGGUAUCGUCCAUGUAAAAACCAAAAAGUGAAAAUUUACAUCAUUUCUUCAAUACCUUUCCAAUUGUUUUUGCUUUCCAAUUUGGCCUUUUCGAGACCUCAAUUUGAUGUCCACACCGACAACAUUUGAACAUAAUCAUAUUCACAUAUAAUUUACAUAAAGCAUUGGCAUAAGAAAAUAGCAUUGUAACUAUGUAAACGACAAGUCGAUUCUCUGAAAAGUCUAGGACACUGACUCGAGAAACAAUGCAACAAUGGUUCUGCAACUCAUCCAAAUAAACUGUAGACGAUCAGCUCAGAGAAGAUGGCAUGCUCUGUGUGAUGUCCCAGUGUUGGACUAUUAACUUCUCACGUCCAUGGUGGGGAGCUUCGCGGAAUGAGUGAAUGAGAAAUGCAUUGGACUACGAAUCCUUUUUAUGCCUGCCUCGUCCUCAGCCUAAUUGAGUGUCUUAAUGGGAGUUCGUUGUGCCUUUUGGGAGUUGAAGGUGCGGUUAGAUCAUUCCAUUCUGCCGAGUUCUUAAUUUGUCAGCAAAACUCAAUUCAGCCUUUGUUCAACUUGGAAAGAAUCCAAAGUUUUACCGGCAUGCUCUCUGAAUUAGCUAAACAUCAUUAGGAUCUGGGUCCUAUGUGUUUUUUUUCUCUUCUAGUCGACUUAGAUCUUGAAAUAUAAACAUAAUUUGAAAUAGUAUUAAUCGAUGUUCCUUUUGCUUUCUCACUAAUUUGGUGUUUUGCGAGUCGGGUGUAAGGAUUCGACUAUUACGCUGGCUUCCUUUGAUAUUGCUAGUAUGAGUACCUAGAGGGGGGUGAAUAGGUAUAUAAAGAAUUUUUUCUCAAGCAAUUGCACAAUACUAGACAGUUGGAUGAAACGAUAAUCAAAGUAAGACUGAGAGAAGAGAAAAUUGAACACGCGGUUUAUAGUGGUUCGGCUUAUAUCAAGCCUACGUCCACUCUUCUUCACUGACAGCCUAUUGGCUGGAUUCCACUAUGAACAAGAGAGAGGUUACAGCACAGCUUUGCCUUAAUUCCACAGUGUAGAUGUUCUACCACACCUCCUCAAGAUUUCUCACAAAUAUAGACUCUCUCUUUCGUAUACAAGUAUUCGCUCAAAAGAUUUGUCUAAACAAAAAGGAGCUUCAGACUUUGAAAUUCUUCUAUCGCGCACACCUUGAACAACUAAGACAGUCUUCCUUAUAUACUUAUUUAUGCCAUCAUACCCGUUGGCACUUACCAAAGGAAUUCCUCCAAUCUACCCGUUGGACGAAAUCAAUUAGGAAGAUUGUCCAAGCUAUAAAUGGAACGUGUUGAUAGCCCAUCAAUCCUGUUCGCCCAUACAAUCAGGAUCUCGAUUUCCAUAAGCAGAACCUUCCAAUAAUAUUUAGGCAAUCACCGGAUCUUCAAUUAUCGAAUCAAUCUUCGAUCAAUCAAAGGACUCCGUUUAUGUCUUCUCCAGCCAUGAGAUCUUCUCCAGUUGAUAAGGUUAAAUCCUCAACGAAACAUCCAGUUCUGGAUAACCUUUCUUCAACGGAUUAGAGACUGUCAAUGAAGAUAGACUUUGAGUCUUGAGUCUGGCUGUCCCAAGGUCUUCAGACUUUAAAUAGCAGAGUCUGCAAGCCUUCAGACUAGACUGAUAGAAACGAUUUGUCAACUUCAAAACACUUCAAGAAGAUUUCUCCAACAAUCUCCCCCUUUUUGAUGGUGACAAAACUUUCCUGCAGAUUUGGAUAUCUUUGACCUACAAAACAUUUCUCAAACACAUAUGCAUAUCUUAUAGAGGUAAAUGUCUUAACAGAAUAACACUAGAAUCUGCAACCACAGAAAAUAGGUUAGUCCAGUAUAUGAUGAAGCCAUCCAUAAGAUAUCAAUAUUAGUUAAUAAAAGCAGUCAAGUCCAAGUCUAGUUCAGUUCUCAUCCAGACACAAAACCAAAGUCAAACAGAUUCAAACCACAAAACAAUCCAACAAAAACAAUUAAAAGUUGAAUGAAAGGUUUUUUGAUCAAAUUUGCAUCUCUCCCCCUUUUUGUCAUCAUUAAAAAGGAUGAGAUGAAGUUAAGAUUGCUUGGGAACGCGGACAAGCUGGAAAUCUUCCAUAGACUGAACGAUGCCUUCCAGCCUUUUAAAGUCUUCCUUUAGCUGUGCAAUCUCCUCACUCUUGGCAUUGGCUUGAUUCUGAACAGAGAGGGCUUGCAUUUUAUCAUUCAAUGAACAGGAAGAAGCUUGACCUUCAUUCUUCAAGCUUUGAACUUCGCAUCCCAAGGCAUAAAUCUGACCUCGCAUCUCCAAAAGAAUAUCUAUGAUUCUGCGAAAAUCUGCUCCAUUAUCAGUUUGAGUACUUGCUUCGGCUCGAUCUGAUGGAGUAAAUGCAGAUGAUGGUAGAUCAGCAUAAUCUUGCAGGUUUGGCGAUGAAACUCCAUGACCUUCUUCUGGAAAUUGAGAUGCAUAAACAUCCUCUGGGUUUGCUGGUGAGCGACUGAUUCCUUCACUUGCAUCAGGACAUGAGACUUCACUCCUUUCUCCUGAUCUCCCCCUGUUUCCAUGUCUACAGGNNNNNNNNNNNNNNNNNNNNNNNNNNNNNNNNNNNNNNNNNNNNNNNNNNNNNNNNNNNNNNNNNNNNNNNNNNNNNNNNNNNNNNNNNNNNNNNNNNNNNNNNNNNNNNNNUUCGUCAUUGCUCGAUCUUUCUGUGGAACAGGACGACUAAAUCUCAAAGCCAAUGCAGAGAUGGUGAUGUCUCCUCAUCAUCUCAUCCUCAACAAGGAGAGCUCUUCUCUCUUGGAUGGAGCAACCAUGGGCUCCUUCCCUUUUCUUUUAGCUGUAGAAGAUAUAUGAUGAGAUUUUGCAGGAGUCUUCUCCUUGAAUUUCUCCAACUCCUUGCUCAGUUCCUUCAGACGCAUUUUGGUCACCAUUUUCAGACCUACCACCAUAUGAUCGCAUGGUCGAACACAAAAGAUUUGUGGAGGCUGAAUAUUCAGAUGUCUGAAUAACUUCGUAACAAGGCUUGGGUAAGGGAGUUGACCUCUGUCCUUCAUCAUUGCUCUAUACAUGUGAAACAUCACAGUGUGAGGGAGAAAAAACCUUUUUCCAAAGAGAAUGGCAUACAUCAACUUGGCUUCUGAACUUGAAACAUCAGUCUUGGAAGUCGAUUUUGGUCGGAGACAAUUAAUCACAAUCUUGUGAAGCAAGAUGUUAAAUGCACCCAUCCUUAAGUAGGUGAUCUUUUCAUCUGUUCUCCUGUCCUUCACCAGUUCAAGAGUGGCCCGAGCAAUGGAAACUUUGAUUGGCUGAUAUCUUCCUCUUUCGACUUCUAACACAUCUGCCAGCAUAUUCAUAUCCACACCAUAAUCUUGGUCUUUAACGCUGAACGAGAAUCUAUUCGCAUCCAAAAAGCUUAGAUUUGAAUAGAAAUAUGCAGUUAAUUCAGCAUAGGCCUCUGUAGAGUCAGAGCAGAAUUUUUCAAGUUGAAGAUAACUGAACUUUUCCCUCAAGUUCAUAUUCACAACAUCCAAAAAAUCAAAAUCUACACUCCUAGGGUUUAUCACCCCACGCUUCAGCAAUUUCGAGUACAGAUCCUUUUGCUCAUUUGAUCCGAACAAAUCUCCCCUUUUUCAUUGGUUAUCAACCGAAACACCCAUUUUCGGUUGGAAUUGACUGUACAAUUUAUCAUCAUCAUUCCCAUCUACAGGAUUCGGCCCCCAGUCACGAGGAUCACUUGGGAUAUUUGCAAGGGUUUCCUCAGCCACUCCUUUUCGAGCAAUUCCCAAACUUUCCAUUUUUUUUCAGAAAGAUAUAUUCGUUCCCAUGUCCUUUGUCUUUAAGAAAAUCAUCAAUGUAGUUCAAAGGAGUACGAAUUCCUUUUAGGGCACGAUAUAACUGAUAAAUAUAAGCGGGCUUUUGAACUCUUACAGGGUCUGCAUCCUCGAUGAUUUCUUCAUGUUGUUGAUGAUCAACGCCUUGAGGACUAGAUGGAGGAGAAUGACGCUGUUGAGAAUGUUAUGGGCUCGCUUGCUGAUCUGGAGUCACUUCAUCUUCAGUAAGAUCGAAGUGCGUAGGCCCCUCACUCAUCCGCCGUGGUCCCCUGCUUGCAAUUCUCGAAGACUUUCUUGAAGAUGACAUCUUUCUCAGUUUUUGGAAGAUUCCUUGCUUGACUUUCCCAGGAAAGAUGACAACUUUUUUAGGAUUAAACGAAGAAGACAAACGGGAAUGGAGGAUCGAUGUUUUCUAGGGUUUUUGAGAGAAAAAGUGAAGAGGAAUCGACAGUUCAAGAUCGGUUAAAAGAGGGAUAAACGAACCGUCAUAAAGGAAAUAAAAAUAUGCCUUUUCAAAAUAACUGUCUUUUUCAGCAAAAAAAUAGCCAUUUCAAAAAUAACUUCCCUUUUGAAAAUGAAACGAUGCAAUAUUUUCGUCAAUUAAAUAUAGCAACAAUUUAAACACAGUCUGACAAUCGUACCUUUUCAAGUUGAGAUUCAAGAUAGAAAGACUUACAGUCUGACAGACGUACCAAGACUGUCUUUCAGAUAAAGUCUUGUAAGUCUGAGUCUGAAAGUCUUUAGACUUUGAUAUCCUCAUACCUCAAAAUGUUGAGUCUCGAGCGUAUAGACUCAAAUUGAUUUUUCUCCAAAGGCUUUGUGAAUAUAUCCGCCAGUUGAUUCUUUGAGUCAACAAAUUGAAUUGAAAUAUCUCCAUUUUGAACAUGGUCUCUUAUAAAAUGAUGUCGAAUCUCUAUAUGCUUUGCUCUUGAGUGGAGAAUUGGAUUUUUGGUGAGGUUGAUAGCGCUGGUGUUGUCGCAAUUAAUCUCUGUGCAUGAGUCUUCAAUUUCAAAGUCUCUUAGCUGUUGUUUUAUCCAUAGAAUUUGCGAACAGCAGCUUCCCAAGGCUACAUACUCUGCUUCUGUUGUUGAAAGAGACACAGUGCUUUGUUUCCUUGAAAACCAAGACACUGUCCUGCUUCCAAGCAACUGGCAAGUUCCCGAAGUGCUCUUUCUAUCAACUCUGCAACCGGCCAGAUCUGCGUCUGAAUAUCCCAGAAGAUUAAAGUCUCCCUUCUUAGGAUACCAAAGACCGAUGCUUGAUGAUGAAGCAACGUAUUUAAUGAUGCGUUUAGCAGCACUGAGAUGGGAUUCUCUAGGAUCUGAUUGAAACCUAGCACAGAUGCAAACACUCAACAAGAUGUCAGGUCUAGAAGCAGUAAGAUAAAUGAGUGAACCAAUGAUGCUCCUGUACAGCUUUUGAUCAACUUUCUUCCCUUCUUCAUCUUUGUCUAUCUUCAAAGAACUUGACAUCGGUAUGUCGGUCUUUUUGCAAUUUUCCAGUCCAAAUCUUUUGACAAGAUCAUUAACAUAUUUUUCUUGAUAAAUAAAAGUUCAUUCCUUCAAUUGUUUUACUUGAAGACCAAGAAAUAAUGUUAAUUCUCCCAUCAUACUCAUUUCAAAUUCAUCCUACAUAGACUUAGAAAAUUUCUUGCACAUAUUUUCAUUAGAAGAUCCGAAAAUAAUGUCAUCCACAUAUAUUUGACAAAGUAAGAAAGUUUUGUUCUCCUUUUUGAUAAAUAAAGUAGUAUCCACUUUACCUUUGACAAAACCAUUUUGUAUUAAAAACUUACUUAAUCUGUCGUACCAAGCUCGAGGUGCUUGCUUUAAACCAUACAGAGCCUUCUUCAGUCUGAAGACUGAGUCUGGCUUCUUUGGGUCUUCAAACCCUGGUGGUUGUUCCACAUAAACUUCCUCUUGGAUGACUCCAUUUAGGAAGGCGCUUUUGACGUCCAUUUGGAAUAACCUGAAAUUCUUAUAACAAGCAAACGCAAGUAAUAGUCAAAUAGCUUCUAACCUUGCUACUGGAGCGUAAGUCUCAUCAUAGUCUAUUCCUUCUUCUUGUGUAUAUCCCUUGGCCAUGAGUCUUGCUUUGUUUCGUACGACUUUUCCUUUCUCAUUCAUCUUGUUUCUGAACACCCAUUUAGCUCCAAUAACAGUUUUACCUUUUGGUUUGGAUGUCAAUUCCCAGACAUCAUUAAUGCUAAACUGUCUGAGCUCUUCUUGCAUAGCUUAAAUCCAGCUUUCAUCAGAUAAAGCUUCUUCUAUGCUUUUUGGUUCAAUUUCAGAAACGAGAGCCACAGCACUAGACUCUUCUCGCCUUUUGGAUCUGGUGCGAAUUCCUUCAUUCAUUUCGCCGAUUAUAAGAUCUUUGGGAUGACUGGACUUAUGCUUCCAGUUACUCGUUGAUCUGUCUGGUUGAUGAUCUCUUUCUUUGUUUGGAUCUUCACGAACAUCUUGAAGCUGGUUUUCCAGAGUCUGAGAUGCUUCUUGAGAUGUAAGCUUUGGAAGAUCUGAAGCAGGUUCAGACUCUUCUUGAUGAGUCUGACUUGAUUCAUCUUGCGUUGAGUCUUGGAAUUUGACAUUCAUUGACUCCUCCAUAGACUGGCUCUUCUUGUUAUAGACUUUGAAGGCUUUGCUUGAUGUAGAAUAUCCAAGGAAGAUACCUUCAUCUGAUCUUUCUUCAAACUUACCAACUCGAUCUUUUGCAUUUUUCAAUAUAAAACAUUUGCAACCGAAUACAUGAAAGUAUAAAACAAUAGGCUUCUUAUCUUUGAACAAUUCGUAAGGGGUUUUCUCUAGAAUAGGUCUUAACAAGACUCUAUUGAUGAUAUAACAUGCUGUUGAAACAGCUUCAGCACAAAAUCAUGAAGAAAUCUUGCUUUCAAUUAAAAGAGUUCUAGCCAUUUCCUGAAGAGAUCUGUUCUUUCUUUCCACAACUCCAUUUUGCUGAGGAGUAUAUGGAGAGGAGAACACAUGAUUAAAGCCAGAUUCAUCACAAAAUUUUGUAAAAUCUUGAUUUUCAAAUUCACCUCCAUGAUCUGUUCUUAUACUUGAGAUAACACAUCCUUUUUCAUUUUGAACCUUUUUAGCAAACUUUUCAAAAUACGAGAAGGUUUCAGACUUACUUGCAAGGAAAUAUACCCAAGUAAAACGGGAGUAAUCGUCCACAAUUACUAGGCAAUAUUUCUUACCUCCAAUACUCUGUGUUCUGGUUGGUCCGAAGAGAUCCAUAUGCAGCAACUGUAGUACAUGAUUAGUAGAGACAUGAUUUAUUGGCUUGAAUGAAUUUCUUACCUGCUUUCCCAGAAUACAUGGAGUGCAUGGAUCAGUCUUUUGAUAAGGUAAUUUGGGUAGUCCUCGAACAAGCUGCUUUGAUGAGAUUUUGGCUAAUUGCUUCAUGUUGACAUGACCAAGCUUUCUGUGCCAUAAGCUUGCUUCGUCUUGAAUUGAGAUAAAACAUUGCGAUUCAUUUGGUUUCACAUCCAGAAGAUAAAUGUUUCCAUGUCUACGACCCAUGAAAGACUGAGUAGAGUCUUUACUGAUUCCAGAACAUAUUCCUUCUUGAAAAAAGAUCUUGAAACCAGUAUCACACAAUUGACUAAUGUUGAGAAGAUUGUAAUUGAGUCCUUCCACUAAGGAAACAUUACUUAUUGUGAGAUUUCCAAUUUUCACAGUUCCAAAUCCCACAAUACUCCCUUUGUUGUUUCCUCCAAAUGAAACUUUUCCACCAUUUACUUGAGCAAUCUUUAUAAAACAAUUUGAGUCUCCUGUCAUAUGUCUUGAGCAUCCAUUGUCAAGAUACCACUUUACCUUUUUCUUGACGGUAAUCUGCAUUUAAAAAAGAGUCUCAAGCUUUCUUUGGUACCCAAACUUUCUUGGGUCCUUUUGUGUUAGUAACAUAAGCAGUAUUAGCCCAUAUUCUCUUAACAAGUUUCCAAACCAUAGGACACUCUUUCUCAAAGUGAUCCAGACUGUUGCAUUUUGAACAUUUUAGAGCAUUUAUUCCUACAGAUUUUACAAAAACUUUCUUGAAGUGAUUUUUGUAAACCUCUCUUGAGAGUCUUUUCUUAAUUCUUUCUUUUACUUUAGGAAAAUCAAUCAGGGGAAUUGUUUCUUUUGACAUUCCUAGACCGGACUUAUUGAAGUAAGGUCUUUGUGUUGAAAGAAUUUUCUCAAGUUUUUCAGACCCUAUUGAAAAUUUCUUUGAUAUAUUUGAUAAGUCUGUUUUUAAAAAGACAUUUUCUUUUGAAAGAUUAUCUCCAUUUUCUUUAAGAUUGGAAACAGUCAAGUCUAGACUUUUAACUCUUUCUACUAAAACAUUUUCCUUUUGUUUUAGAGCUGAGUUUUCCUUUUUCAGUUCGGAAAUUCUUUUGAGAGAAGUCUUAAGACUAAAACAUAAUUCAUCAAUAUAUUUAGAAACUUUGACAGGAAUUUUAAUAUCACUUGCCUCAAAUUCACUGUCUGAGUCUGAUCCAGAGUCUGAGUCUGAUUGUGCCAUCAGACAUAGAUUGGCAUAUUCAUUAUCACUUUCUUCACACUCUGUGUCACUCCAGGUUUCGGCUUUGAGAGCUUUUCGAAAUCUUUCAGCUUUUCCUUUCUUCUUCUUCAGAAGAGGAUAGUUGGGUCUGAUGUGUCCCUUUUUCUUACAUUCAAAGCAGACUAUGUCUUUGUUUGGUUCCUCAUCAUCAACAGACUUGGUCUGCUGUCUUUGAAAGCUUUGUUUCUUUGAGUUGAACCUUCUUCCUUUUCUAUUCAGUUUUCUGAAUCUUCUUAUCAUGAGAGCAAGCUCCUCAUCGUCCAUAUCUUCUUCAGAAUCUGUAUCAUCAGAAUCAUCAUUUGAUUUUAAUGCAAUAGAUUUCUUACCUUUUGGAUCUUCAUCUUCAUUGAUCCGUUCCACUUCAUAAGACUGAAGAGUUCUAAUUAGCUCGUCGACAGAUAGUGGCAUAAUUCUUUGCGUCUCUCUUAUCAAAGUCUUUAUGUGAUUCCAAUCCCUGGAGAGUCCACGCAGUAUCUUGUUUACCUUCAUGGGAUCAGAAGUUGGUUGACCUUGAUUUUCAAGACCAUUCACAAUAUCUGUAAAACGACUAAACAUGUCAGAUAUAGAUUCUCCUGGUUUCAUUCUGAAGGCUUCGUAUUGACCGAGAAGAAUGUUGAUUCUAGUUUCCUUCACUCGAUUUGUUCCUUCAUAGGUGAUAUGCAAUCUGUCCCAAACUUCUUUUGCUGUACCACAAGAAGAUAUUCUAUUAUAUUCAGUUGGUGAUAAAGCACAAUAUAAGGAGUAAAUUGCUUUUGCAUCGAGUGUUUGUCUCUUGAUUAUUUCUUCCUGAGACAUUCUGCUGGUUUCAUCAGUUUCUUUUCCUCUUUCAAAGACUGAUGCAGUGGUAGGAGUAAUUCCUUUUUCUACAACGUCCCAUUCCAGAGGAUCCUUUGAUCGAAGGAAAGCUUUCAUCUUGUUCUUCCAGAUGUUGUAAUCAUUUCCAUCAAAGUAGGGUGGUCUGGUAUUGCUUUGCCCUUCCAUCAGCCCUGGUGCUAGCAUACUAGCCAUGGAUCUUUUACUACGAAGUAAAACACUUCAAAUAAAGUAAGUACACAGGCUCUGAUACCAAUUGAUAUUGCUAGUAUGAGUACCUAGAGGGGGGUGAAUAGGUAUAUAAAGAAUUUUUUCUCAAGCAAUUGCACAAUACUAGACAGUUGGAUGAAACGAUAAUCAAAGUAAGACUGAGAGAAGAGAAAAUUGAACACGCGGUUUAUAGUGGUUCGGCUUAUAUCAAGCCUACGUCCACUCUUCUUCACUGACAGCCUAUUGGCUGGAUUCCACUAUGAACAAGAGAGAGGUUACAGCACAGCUUUGCCUUGAUUCCACAGUGUAGAUGUUCUACCACACCUCCUCAAGAUUUCUCACAAAUAUAGACUCUCUCUUUCGUAUACAAGUAUUCGCUCAAAGGAUUUGUCUAAACAAAAAGGAGCUUCAGACUUUGGAAUUCUUCUAUCGCGCACACCUUGAACAACUAAGACAGUCUUCCUUAUAUACUCCUUUAUGCCAUCAUACCCGUUGGCACUUACCAAAAGAAUUCCUCCAAUCUACCCGUUGGACGGAAUCAAUUAGGAAGAUUGUCCAAGCUAUAAAUGGAACGUGUUGAUAGCCCAUCAAUCCUGUUCGCCCAUACAAUCAGGAUCUCGGUUUCCAUAAGCAGAACCUUCCAAUAAUAUUUAGGCAAUCACCGGAUCUUCAAUUAUCGAAUCAAUCUUCGAUCAAUCAAAGGACUCCGUUUAUGUCUUCUCCAGCCAUGAGAUCUUCUCCAGUUGAUAAGGUUAAAUCCUCAACGAAACAUCCAGUUCUGGAUAACCUUUCUUCAACGGAUUAGAGACUGUCAAUGAAGAUAGACUUUGAGUCUUGAGUCUGGCUGUCCCAAGGUCUUCAGACUUUAAAUAGUAGAGUCUGCAAGCCUUCAGACUAGACUGAUAGAAACGAUUUGUCAACUUCAAAACAUUUCAAGAAGAUUUCUCCAACAUCCUUGAGCGGGAAUUCCAAUUCCUCCUUGGGAACAACAACCACUAUCAUCACUCAGAUUCAAAGCUCAAGCUCUGGAGAUGAGUUGUUACAGAUCCAGAGGAAAAAGAAGAGUAUGGAGCCGAACAAGGAGUCGGCUAGGCGGUCGGGGAUGUAGAAGCAAAGGCGCUUGGGCGAGCUUAUGGCCGAAGUGGGCCGACAGAGGAAGGACAACAACCAGAUCAUCACGAGCAUCACUCACCACUUUCUGGGCCCUAGAGGCUUAGAACUCGAUCCUGAGAGCUUGCGCACUCUUGAGCUAAGCUAGAGACUACAGUCCCUCAAGGACAUUCUAUUUUUCUUAAAGAAGAAGAUGAAUUGGAGAGUUUUCGGGAGGAAGAAGGGAGAAGAGGAUGAAGAAAGAAAAUAAAAAAAGAAAUAAAAAAAGGGCAUUUAGACGAAAUGCCCUUGAUCAUGGUUUGGAAAUUGACAUGUUAAAUGCACAUGCUUAUCAAGCUUUUGUUUGAGAUUAAAUUGAUUAUUUUAGGCUUUUAUAUGAAAUAAAGUCUACUCGAGGCACUCUUUUGAAAAAAUUAGCUCACUUUAGGUCAUUAUUUGAAAAUUUCCCUUCUUUUUUCUUUCUUUUGGGGUGAAGAUCUUAUGAGAGGAUUAAUCCGCAUCCACGCAGUAUAUUUUGUAUCAUUGACUUUUGGACAAAAAUGCCCUUGAUUAUGGUUUGAAAUUGGCAUGUAAAAUGCACAUGCUCGUCGGGGCUUUAUUAUUAAGUUGAUUAUUUCAAACUCUUAAUUAAAACAAAAUUAACUUCGAACCCUCUUGUGAGAAAAUGAACUCACUUAAAGCCUUUAUUCAGAAUUUUUCUUAUGGUAUUUUUGUUUCCUUUUUAGGCCAAGAUUUUACGAGUUGAUCACUCCGCAUCCAUGAUUUAUAUCUCGGAUCAUUGACUUCGGCUCCACUACAAAUGUCCAAGUCCGCGGUGGUGCAGUUAUCUCUUCAAUAAAGAAACCAACUAGUUCGGACUUUUGAUUAGAGACAAUAUCCGUGUCUCCUAAAACCAAAAGUUGUUUUCAUUGAGCUUCAAUGUAACAAAGUUUGCAAAUUGAUAUUCGAAGAAAAUGGAAAUUACAGGUUUAAAGAAUGAGACGGCAUGCUUAUAUUGAUUUUCCUUUUUAAUAAGAAAAGGUCAAUGUGCCCUUUCGUGGCUCUGAUACCAUAAAAAUAAAGAAGGAUUGAAUGGACCACAAAUAUUUCAUUGAUACUUACAGUAAUAUCUUAAAUGAGAAUAUUGUUACCUAUAAUCAUGGUGGAAAGUAAAUAUAAAGAUAGUAAUUUAUCUAAAUGAAAAUUGAAUAAAAACAAAUCAAGGGAAAAUAUUUAAAUGAUUAGUUCAAGGAUCCUCUCCUUGAUAAGUUAUCUUCCUGCUGAUUUGUGGAAGAUUUCCAGUUAUAACCACGCUGAUAUGUUGCUAUUUGAUUUGUUGCUUCAGUAGUAAUCACCCCACACGCUCGGACGAAGAUCCGUCGCCUCGUGUUCCUUUGUUGGGAGAAGAAGAUGAAAUUUCUUAAACCUCGACUGACCUAUUUUCCCUACUUUUCAUGUUUCAUUUUUUGAUGAAUGACCAAUACACAAAUAGUGGAUCUUCGAGUGGCCCUUUGCGUUGCAAAGCAUCACACUACUUGAUGGGCAUCUAUAGAAAAUAUGUUCAUAACCAUCAUGUUACUUAGACUAAUUUUGAGAUCAAAUCAAUAACAUUUCAAUGAAUAAUACCCUAGUGAGAUUAUUUCAUAUGAAAAGGGAAUAUGCUCCUUAUGGUAUCUUUGAUCUUAUCCAUCCCAUCCUUGAUAUGACAAUAGAUAUCCUUAUAUUUAAAUACAGCUAUUUUAUUUUGGGAAAAAAUUAUUGCUUAUAAAUCGGUAAAUUUUGUGUCUUCCAUAACUAGACUCAGGGUCCUUUUUUCAGGAAACUUGUAAUGUUAUCCUUUUGUGACAAGCUGAGUCUAAUCAUAAAGCAUACACAGUGUGUGGUUUUUGGCUUCCAAUAUGAGUGGCUAACUCGGUUAGUGGUGGAGCUCGAUUGGCUUGACUACGAUCUUGGAUUCAUUCGUCGAGUCACGCCGUUCCUAUUUUUACCCCCAGACACUAUUCUUGCUGUAUUCGAAGCUGAGUCUAAUCAUAAAGCAAUACGGACCAAUUGAAUUAGGAAUUGCUCUGAUCAAAUUGGACCACUGAUUUUGGGUAAUUCCCGAAGGCAUCAGUCCGGUUCUUGGUACUGGUGAUUUUGAGUCUAAUCCCUACUUUCAGGGAUGAACUGGAUUGGAUCGAUCUAUUUUUUAACUUAUUUCUCAUGCAUUCAUUUCUCUCUUUUUUCCCUGUUUUCUCUCACCAUGCCUCUUUCAGACUUUGACAGCCCUAAUUGUCUCACGUCUCUCAGCCUUGCUCACGGUAAUCGGCUCUAGUCUCUCAACCUCGCUUGUUGACUGUAAUUGCUUCUCGGGAAUCUGAUGGUGAGCACACCAUUAGCGCUCACGGGAGCCGUGGCCUCACUCACCCUCAUCCUGUGGUCCCUUCGCAGCUUCACAUUAAUGGUCUCGUCCCCUCAGCCAAUCACCCACAAGGCAUGGCCCCAUCGGAUCUCCACGCUCACCUCAUUUGGCCUUAGCCACGGCUUGUCCAUCUUGCACAUGAAGGCGGCCACCGUCUCUUCCUUGGGGACCUGGUUGUACAACGUGGUGCCCAACAUGCUUUGGGUGGUAAGAAGUUAGAGAGGGUCGUUGAAAAAGAAGGGCACAUCUUUGAUUUUCUUCAGGCACUUGUCAUUAAGUUCGACAUUGGAUCUCAUGGGAACCGGUUUGGUUGUCCAAUCUGGUCCUAGGACCUAAUGGUCUAAUUCUUGAGUGGGAUUGGACCAGGAACCAAUUGCCUUUAAUUCAAAGUAGUGUGAGGGCUAAACCUAUCAAAUGGGUGGGCCAAAUUAGGUUGAAAAUGGUUCGACCCAACUUGACUCAUUUAACCCGUUUUAAUUACAUGACUUUACUCAUAUUGCUAAAACACUUCUAUAUUUAACUCAAUUUAGAAAAAAUUAUGCUCAAACGAAGGUGAAAGCACGGAGCGAUCGAAAGUAAGAUUUACAGAGAGUCAUAAAUGUCGAUUAGGUCUAAGUAAGCUGUGAAUUCAUUUAAAACCUCUAUUAAAUAUGUUUAUUACCCAUCUAUCAAAUAUAAUCUAUCCAUAGCUAAUUAAAUAUGCUUAAGAAAUGAGUUUAUUACCUAUUUUGAUAUGUCUAAGUGCUAUAAAAGUUUAGAGUAUAGCACGUCACUAGUUGAGGACAUGAAAUAUACAUACAUAUAUAUAUAUAGGCUUUUAAUAUGGACCUCAUAGUGAGCUCUUUUAGAUCUAUUGAACCAUUCUCUAGCCCGGUAGGAUUUUCAAAGAAAUGCAGCUCGGCUAGUUGGAAAUGUUACCAUCUUCACACCCUUGAGUGUCUUUAUACUUUGAACUAAAUUCUGAGUAGUUUGUUUUUAAAAGGCUGUCCCAAAAGCGCUUGAACAAGAAGCUUGUCUACUUGGGGGAAAAUAUACCUGUAACAAUUGACUCAGUUUUCCUUGAUGCACAAAUUGGAUGUGUAAAAUUUUUCAUUUUGAUUCAUUGCUUGUUUGUAAUAUUUUUUUUUUCAAUAUAAAAGGGUAUAAUUUCUCUCUUCUUGACUUUUGUAAUUCGUUUUGACGGGAGACAGGUGAUAUAGCAGGACAAAUAUACUUUUCUUAGAAUGAUUUCACAGUCAGAUUGCAACAAAAGAGUAUGAUUUGAUUGAAGAUUAUUUUGGUUCAACAGUGUUCCACGUGAUUUGAUUCACAUCGUCCUAGAAUUUUAUAUGCAGACUAAACGUGGAUGUCUCGUGAUUGCUUGUCUGCCAACCACCCACAAUUACCACACCACCAUGUAUUUUUUUUUUUUUUUUGAAUAAACAGCCGAAAAAUGCCAAUCAGUUCUUUUUUAAUAAUUUAUUAGCAGAACACACUGCUUAUACAUAGCUGACUAUGGAACUUUUCAAUUUUCAAAGCUUUCACCUUAUUUAUAUUAAUACUUGAAUUAGUAUUAAGUGAGUUAGUGAGGCUCAAACAAUACGCACCCGACCUUUAUUUGUGUAGGAGGAACGUCAAUCAAAUAAUUUUCCCUCUUAACACAAAGAUUAUGAUAAACCGGUGAUUAAUGUCCUUCCAACGCGAUAAAACCGUUAUGGGCUUGCCUCAGUGACUACAAUUCCCACGUGGGAAGGGAAGGCGGGGGGAUCACAGUUCCCUUACUCCGGAUAGAAGAGGAUUAUGGGUCUCAUCUGCCAAAUUUUAGGAAUACACUUCGGCGACCCCAAAAAAAAAAGAAAGUAAUCAAUGUAUCUUUUCACUUUGUACAACCUUCAUUUAUUUUAUUCUUCCUAUCGAGUUACUUUAAAUUGCUUAUUGGUUUUUAGGGAGAAGACUAUACUAUGAUAAAGAUAGGAUCCGAUCAAAUUGGAGUAUGUCAAGAACAACGAAUAUGACGAGUACUAGCAACAAGUAAGUAGCAACAACUGACAUGCUUUUUAACCCGAAAGCAUGAUAAAGAGCAAAGCAUUGGAGGAGUCAGGACCCAAAAAGUGCUUGAUUUGAAGAUCAUAUGGUGGAGGAAUUAAGGAUGUGCAACUGGCUUAUCGGAGGUUAGAAAAUUCAUCAUUGCAUUAACCAAUAUAUUAUAGAUUACUUACAUUGUAUAUUUUCUUAAAGUAAUAGUUAUAUUACUUAGAGUUAAGCUCAAUUACCAAGUUGAUCCUUGAACCGACAUUGGCUUGGUUUCCAAUUCCAAAAACCUGGAAAACUAGUUUGAUGGAAUCGAUUGUGUUUCUCCUUUUUUUUUUUUUGUGGAGAUUUUCAUCUGUCAUGAACUAUUAAUUUGAUUUUUUUUUUCGCUUUUUAACCCUUGAAAAUUUUUAAUUUAAUUGAACUGUUGAAGUUCGGGUUUUAGAAAUAUAUACUUUUGGAGAUUUGGGUCAUUUUCUUUUUUGGAUCGAAGAUGGUACUUUCAUUUAUUCAUAAAAAUGAGAAUUAUAGGAAAAUGAUAGAUACGUUUCGGAACAUAAAAUCUCCAAAAGAGGUAAAGAAGGAAAAGACGCCUAAUUUAGAAAGAGGGUUUUGAUUCGAAGGACUUUGACGGUUCAGUUGGCGGCUUGGUUGGCCUCCCUUGGACAGUGGGCCAACUUUGUUGAAUCCAUUUGGGUUGAAAGCCCUUUGCAUUAAUCUGUUAUAUCCCUUACAUCCUAUGGAUCGUUUGCCCGGCCAUAAUGCUUUCUAUCAAAGCCGAACUAUCACUUUCCCAUUCCCACUUCUCACUUUGUACUUGUUCUGUUCCCACAUGCACGUCCUUUUUCUGCCUCAAGUACUCCAGCCUGUGCAGCAGAGUUAGGCUUCUGAUUGUAGGGAGGACGGCGCUCGAACCUCACGCACGAAGCCAUCGACGACUCUUCCGUUUGAAUCGCGCAAGAUCCUAGCAAUUGAGCUAAAAAAUUCUCCUUGCAUCCACAAGCAAUCAACAUUUAGCUUCACCGAUCCACCCUCCGGCGACAUCCACUUGACAGGUUUGUUUGGAUUUGUGGGUUUCUUUGACCCUUUCUUCCUUUGCCAUCUACUGAAGUUCUUCGUUUGUGCAUGAGCUAUAUCAACGAGAGAUCGUGAAUCUGGUGGCUUGGCUCGGAAGACGAAGUCGUUGUGUAACAUCCAGAUCGUCCAGAGCACAGCCGCGAUCAUCUCAUUCUCGGGUGAUUCUCUUUUCUCUUCGAAGACUUCUGUGAGCCACUUGUCAAAUCUAGUUAUAGUGAAGGGAUUCCAGCUGAGAUUAAUUCGUGGGUCUGACCAUACUUGUUUUGUCCAAUUGUAGAGCAAAAACAGAUGUUCGAUUGUCUCUGGAUGGGUGGCACAGGGCGGGCAAAUGAGAUAAGGUAAUAUCUUCCUCUUGUACAGAUUUUCUCUUGUCGGUAUAGCGUCUUGACAGAGGCUCAUUUUCAGAGGGAUAGAUAAAUACUAGAUCUUGGUCCACAAGGUUCUAGGAGGCUAGAAAGAACUUGAUGCUUUGUUUGGUUCUAUUUUUGUAGUCUGGGAACAAACCUUGUUAUAGCCAUUCUUCACUAUAUAAGUCCUUGAUUUGUUGUCGAUCCACACUAGACUGUCUUUCUUUGGGUGAGGACUGAUUGGAAUAGCUAGGAUUUCAUCGACUACUCAAUCGUCAAAAAGAUUCUGAAUCUCAGUUUCAUUCCAGCCCCAUAUUUCUUCAUUAAUUAGUUCAAUCACCAUCACGGGGUCAUCUUUAUUCGCUGGACCUCCAAUCACUAUCAAUGUGAGCCAUUUGUCUUCUCGUAACUGAAUAGAUUUAUUGUUCCUCACUAUCCAUUUUACCUUCGAUUCUAUAUCUUCUCUUCCAGCUAAAAUGCUUUGUCCUCCCCAUGAUGAACAUUACCCCUUUAUUACCUUCCACAAGUCUCCAUUUGGGAAAUAAAUUCCUUUUAGAAUCCUGCUCCAUAGUGUUGAAGGGGACUAAGAUAGCUGCCAAGUUUACUUACCUAGCAUUGCUUUGUUGAAAUGUAUCGAGUCUUUGAAACCAAGCCCCCCCUUAUCUUCUCUAGUUUUCAUCACUUCCCAUUUUUUUUCAAUGCAAUCCUCUCUUUGAAUCAUUUUGUUUCUACCAAAACAAGGCAAUUCUUCUUUCUAUGGCAUUGCAUAUUGAGAUGGGUAUUUUAAAAAUUGGCAUUGCAUAUUGAGGAAGAGCUUGUACUACACUUUUUAUCAUAGUUCCCUUACCUAUUUUGGAUAGUAGCUUUUCUUUUCAACCCUCAAGUUUCAAGUUUACUCUAGCAAGAAUCCAUGCAAACAUCUCUUUCUUUGACUGGUCCAAUCGGAUGGAAUGCCGAGAUAUUCCCUGUCUUGUAUGCUCGUGAAAUCUUUUCAUAAUAUUUUAAGCAUAGAAUAAUUUUUCCUACUUUGGCGGGAAGCCAUACUUUGCUAUAGACUAAGGAUGGGAUGAAGGGGUGACGGUCCCCUGCUUGAUGGGCUUAGCCAGACUCUGGCAUUUUUCAUCCUGUACAAGGGCCAGCCCAUCUUCAGAAGGAUUUUUGUCCACAAAAGUCAAGAAAAAAUUUCUUUCCCCUAUCCAUGGUUUUAUAUUCUGGCAUUUCCUCUAUUUUACUUCUUAUUUUUGCUAGAUUCGAGUUCGUCCAUGCAAAAAAAAUUACUUCCGCUUGUUGUGGCUUUUUUGGCAUUUCAUGGUGAUUUUUCGUGUUUAAUACUUAUGAAUUUUCUUACGCAUUAGAAACAGACAAACAAACAGGAUAUUUCAUAAUCUUGAUAGGGAAACUCUUAAAAGAAAGCUUAAAUACAACCAUGCUAUGCCAUGGGACAAAAAUAUAACAAAGGUUCUACAUCAAUUAAGUGAAAAAGUGAAAUAUAAAAAUUCAUGUGUUUUUCAUUUAUUCUGAAACAGUAAAGUAAUUGUUUGAAAAUUGACAAACGUUCAUCUAUUGUACUAGUACUAAUUGUUCUAUAGUUUUAACAUUUCUUUACAUAACAAGCAAGGUUGGCUAACUGAAGCUAAAUAACAAGACUAUAUCAUACUCGAUGCUAUUUUAAGUUAUCAUUAGAUCAAUAUUAAUGACUGAUAGUGUCAUAACAUUUGAUAACAUCAUUAAAGUAGUUAACUUAAUUUAUCUAAGGUAUGGAAAAAGCACAACAAUCAUAUUAUAUUUAAGUUUGAUUUGAAAAUGUAAGCAUACUCACAAUCCUACGCUCAAAAGUUAAGUUGGAAAAAUAAAAAAGGAAAGAUGAAUUUGGCUUUGAAUAGAUUGAAAAAUAUAAUGAUUAAUCUCCUUUUCCUUUUUUGGCAUGCCUACUUGCUUCUUUAGUGGCAAAGGGUGAGGGGCUUCAUGAUUUGUCAGGUUAAAAAAUUUGCUACUUCUAAUGGGUUGUAAUAUGAAUUGAUAUGAAACAAGAUAUAUGCUUAUCUUGUACCAGUCUUCUAGGUAAUGUUAAGAUUUUGUUGCUUUAGUUGGAUGGUAGAAAUGACAUGUGCACAAAGUAUUCUAGUUACUUGCCAAGCUCAUCAUUAACCCUUUCUACCUCCAAUUGGGCAACAUACUUAUCACCAUUGUUCAUGAUCUCAUAUCCAUCAUCCAUAUUCCAAACUAAAUAAUAGAAUCUAUUAGCAGCCAUAUUAUCAUCCAAUCUCUUAGCAAAUUUAGGAUCACACUUUCUCGUCCAUUUUAUAGCCUCAUCCCUUCGUCUUUACAGUCUAGUCAUAACAUCAUUUGUAUGUCUUCAAGGAUGCUACUGCUUUAUUUGCAUCUCGCGUCUAUCAUUCAAGCUUGCUAAUGCAUGUCUUCAUAGAGGUUGUCAUUAAUGAUAUGAUACUCAACUUCUUCACCAAAGAAGACUCUACACCACUGCUCACGUGCGACAUUGUUUAGGGUGCCGCAUUUUGUCUAUUUUGAGAGAUAAAUCCAAUUUAAAGGGUGUGGCAUCAUUUUGGUGCAGAAAGGUCACCUCAUUGUCAACGUUGGACUUCUAUUUUUUUUUUAAUAAAAGAAUCACGUAUGAAUAUAAAUUUUAUUCAAAAAGACACGUAGGACUUUUUGCCAAAAUUUGUAGCUGGAAGCACUUAGAUGAUUGUUUUUUCUUCGAUUUGGCGGCGAAAAGUUUUGAUACUAAAAACAUGUAUGAAUUGCCAUUUUAUUAAUAAAAAAAAACACGUAGGACAUUUCAUUAAGAAGCACUUAAAUGAUUGUGUUUUUCCAAUUUGGAACUUAAGUUAUCCAACGAAAAAUUUUGAUACUAAAGUGAUUGCUCUAUGAAAAUUUUGACACUUUUAAUAUUUUUUCUCCAAUAUUUGUAUAUUUAAAUUUUGAAGUGACUAGCCAAAAAAAAAAAAAACUUAUUGCUUAUGAAGCGGUAAAUUUUGUGUCUUUUCCAGAACUAGACCAAGGCUCUUUUUUUAGGAAAUUUGAAAUUGUUAUGCACUUUGUGCAGUAAUUAUCCUUUGUUAACUGGCUGAGUCUAAUCAUAUGAAGUGUAUAAAGUAUACUAUAUUCGACUUACAAUUUGGGUGGUCUACUCGAUAUUGGCUCCAUCACAAUGUUGGAUUCAUCCAUCGAGUCACAUCAUACUUAUAGACACUACUCUUGUUACAAAAGGGGGUUGGAAUUAGGAACUUCUUCUUAUUGCAAUUUAGCAGAAAGAAUUCCACCUGCACAAUAUAGAAUCAUCAAAAUAGUGAAACGUUAUUUCCAUUUUGAAUCUCAUCAUGCAAAGUUGCAAACUAGCGAUUAACCUUUCAGCGGCUGGAUUAAGGAGGCCUCCUUCUUAACGUGAUAAGAUUUGACACCCCGUUCCUCUUUUCAACAUUCAUGGUCAAAAUCUUCGUGGAAAAAGUGCUCCUAAAAUAACGAGUCCAACCGCGCUAUCUCCUAGUAAAGGACAAACUCCAUUAUUCAAUUCCACAUCCACUACACAUCAAAACAUCAUUUGGUGAUAAUUUGAUUAGUAUGAAGCAUUACCAAAUGAUAUUUACCAAUUUAGUUCAUGUGCAAAUUAUCAAAUGAUGUUUAUUUUCAUGUGCAUAUUGCAACAAGAAUACCACGUUCUCUACACAUCAAAACAUCAUUUGAUUGAUCUAAAGCAUUACCAAAGUGAAAAUUUCAAAAAAAAAAAAAAAAGGCCAAAGUGUCCUCAUUUUUUAAAUAAGAAUCCGAAAUGAAUUUUAUUUCAAAUAAGAGCCUUAAAUGUCAUCACUUUCCCAAAUAAAAGACUCGAAAUUGUUAUAUUUAUUUUAAAUAAGAGCCUAACUUCCCUGCAAUUAAGGACAUUUUCGUCAUUUUUUUCUUUUUUUGAAAAGGAAGAUAUAAGAAUAAAAAAGGGAGGGGGAAGUGACGGGUCACGUGGAGGGAAAAAAAGUGAAAAAAUUGGGGAUGGGAAAAAGACGAGGGAAGGGAGUUUGGGCGCCGCUGGGGGUGGGAGGGGGGGGGGGGGGCCGAAAUUAUUAAAAAAAAUUAAAAAAUAAUUUCCAAAAAAAAAAGAACUGGAAGGAAUUUGAAGGAUUAGGGGAAAUUCAUUUUAGGUUCUUUUUUAAUUAAUUAACAAAUUUAAAAUUUAGAUCAAAUUAAUUAAAAAAAAUUUUUUUUAGGGAAAAAAUGCCAGAACUUGUCGGAAUUUUUUAUUUUUGAAAAAAAAAAGGGGGGCGCGUCACAAAUCGGAGCGGGGGCGGGGGGGGGGGANNNNNNNNNNNNNNNNNNNNNNNNNNNNNNNNNNNNNNNNNNNNNNNNNNNNNNNNNNNNNNNNNNNNNNNNNNNNNNNNNNNNNNNNNNNNNNNNNNNNGCAAGAUGGUGGAGAGUGAGGACUGCCCAGAUACGCGCAAAGAGAGAUGGUCAGCUGCAACUAAAAUGGCAAAAAAAAGACCACGAUCUAUUAACCCCUUGCGAAACAUAAAUAGAUCAGCAAGCAGGAAGACGGGGUCGCAGUCCCCAGAGGGAGAUCUCAGUCAAGACAGACCGACGGGCAAGAAGAAGAGGUCGCGGUCCUCGGAGGGAGAUCUCCACCAGGUCAAAUCGCACCUCGUGCUUCCGUUCGGGGUCGCCAUCGCGUUGCUUGAUGGACAAGGUCUGUUGCUGCUGAUUCUGCUUACUCUGAGCGAGCUUCUCGCUUGAGUCGUUGCCGAUGAGGAAGGAAGAUGAAGGAAGGAAUCCGCGGAGUGAGAUCUCCGCCAGGUAGAAUUGCACCCCGUGCUUCCGCUUAGGGUCACCAUCGCGUUCCUUGAUGGCCGGAGCCCGUUGCUGCUGAUUCUGAGCAAGCUUUUCGCUUGCGUCGUCGCUGAUGAGGGAGGAAGACGAAGGAAAGAACGUGAUGGGAGAGAGAGCCCUUGAAAAUUGAAAAGAGGAGAGAGGUUUUUCUUGAGCGGGAGUGCGAAGGAAAGAACGUGAGGAGAGAGAGAGCCCUUGGAAAUUGAAAAAAGGGGAGAGGUUUUUCUUGAGCGGGAGUGCGCUUUUACUGUUCUGUCUUUUCUCCGUGCGUUCUCUCGAGAAGAGGAGAGAGCGCGCCGAGCCGAGCGAAUUUUGGACCUCUGACGCUAUUUACACGUGGAGUCACGUGUCGAAUUCUGAAUGAUCUUGCAUCUCGCUGACGUGGAAUGUAAAAUCCAGCCAAUAUUUUCUCGCCUCUUUUCCCCAUUUUCUCUCACUUCCUGGCGUGAUUUGAUGUGUGCAUUUCAUCUCUUUGACCCUAGGAGCUCAUAAGAUGGAUUUGAUGAUUGAAAACGAUGGAUCGGAUCAGUCCUCAAUCAUCUUGAGUUUUUGAAUCGUCAAAUGAAUUUAUUUGAUUUGAUCACGCACGCAACAGCAGGAAGCGAGAGAAAUUGAGGAAAAGAGACGCGUGGAUGUGAAGGAUCUUUUCUCGAAGCUUAUUCGGAGAUCUCUCCAGAUGGUCAGGGAUAGAGAAGGAGAAGUAGUCAUAUGCUGGAAGGGCCUCUAAUCUUUGAUCGCUCAACCAUUUUUGGGGCUUCUUAUUGAUUUUCCCCAUUACCAAUUGAUGUUUACUAAAUUACUUCAUGUGCACCUUGCAACAGGGACGCACGUCCUCUGCACAUCAUAACGUCAUUUUAUCGAUAAGAAGCAUUACCAAAUGAUGUUUACCAAAUUACUUCGUGUGUAGAUUACCAAAGGAUGUUCAUUUUCACGUGCAUAUUGCUACAAAAAUUGUAACAACCUUAACCCCAUCUAUAGGGUCACAAGUAACAGGGGUUAUUUUUGCAACAUCCCAAGUGCCUUGCCGUCCCAUUUCUUUUAUCUUUUAAUUAUGAACAUGCAAAAAAGCGUACAUACAACAUCGAAACAAUAACAGGCACCCAUGAAUACAACUUUUCAAUACACUACUUAUAUUACAUAAGUAUAUUUUACAAAAUCCCAACGAGGCCUCUAGCCGAUUGCUGGAGGCUAGGCGACUGGCCAAAGGAAGAAGAGCAAAAAAGAUAAAAGACAAAAAUAAAAAAUAAAAAAAUAUUUUAACAAAUUUGAAAAUAUUUAAAUGUUAAUAAGUUUUGUCCACGUUAGCAUUGGUUAUGCCAUAUAGGACAACGGGUGUCCACAUCAGCCAAUUUCGGCCAAAAUUGGUCAAAUGGACUAAACUAACAAGAAGUGAAAAGAUUUAUGACUUAAUUGGCAAAAUUGAAUGUUUUAUGACUGAAUUGACAAAUGUAAAAUAGGUUUAGGACUUUUUGAACAAUUUCCCCAUAAAUCAUAAAAAAUAAUUAACAACUUUAAGAACAUCGGCGAUUCGCCAAGAAAGUUAUCGACAUCAAACAUCAUUAACCUUCACCAGGAUGAAGGUUACUGGCAUGCUCUCUAAAUUAGCUAAAUAUGACGAGGACCUGGGUCCUGUGUGUUUUUCGCUACUAGUCGACUCAGAUCUUAAAAUAUUAUCGAAACUAGAAAUAGUAUUAAUUGGUAUUCUUUUUUCUUUUUUUCUAAUUUGGUGUUUUGAGAGUCAAGGGGUAAGGUGCUUGACUGUUACUGUGGCUUUUUUGAGUGGGAAAAACCAACGCCGACACCACUCAGAUUCAUAGCUCAGGCUCUGAAGACGUGUUGUUACAUAUCCAGAGGAAGAGGAGAGGAUGAAGUCCAGCCGAAAAUCGGCUGGGCGGUCGCGGAUGCAGAAGCAAAGGCACUUGGACGAGCUCAUGGCCGAUGUGGAUCAGCUGAGGAAGGACGACGACUAGACCAUCCCGAGCAUCACCAUCACCACACACCACUUGCAGAGGCCGAAAACUCGAUUGUGAGAGCUAGAGACUCCAGUCCCCCAACAACAUUCUUUUAUUUCUUACGAAAAAGUAUCGGAGAGUUUUCCAGGAGGAAGAUGGGUGAGGAAGAUGAAGAGAGAAAAGAAAAAGAAAAAGAUUAAAUAAAGAUAAAUGGAGGAUAAAAUCUCCAUAUCCUUGAUAUUUUCAAGGAGACAGGCAUGAUUAUAUUGUUGAGAUUAAAUUGAUUAAUCUUCCCUUCUCAUUUCUUUCUUUUUGGGCCAAGAUUUUAUAAGGCAAUCACUCUGCAUCCUUGAUAUUUUCAAGGAGACAUGCAUGAUUAUAUAUUUUUUAUUUUUUACAAGAAAAAUUAGUGUGCCAUUUCGUGAUUUUGAUACAAUAAAGAUAAAUGGAGGAUAAAAUCUCCGUAUCCUUGAUAUUUUCAAGGAGACAGGCAUGAUUAUAUUUUUUUUAUUUUUAACAAGAAAAAUUAGUGUGCCCUUUCGUGAUUUGAUACAAUAAAGAUAAAUGGAGGAUAAAAUUUCCGUAUCCUUGAUAUUUUCAAGGAGACAGGCAAUAUAAAUAGGGAGACAUUAAAUAGGGAUAUUGAAUAAAUAGAGACAUCUAUAAUCAUGAUUGAAGGUAAACAAUAAAAUGGCAAUCCCUUAUGCAUGAAAAUUGAAUAUAAGCAAAUCAAGGAAAAAUUUAUAAAUGAUAUGAUUUGAUUAACGAUAUUCUGCUUGAUAAGUUGCCUUCAUGCUGACUUGAAAACUUCACGCUACAACUGUGCUGAUAUUUUUCCAUUUGAUUUAUUGCUUCAAUAGUAUUCACCCCAAACACUCGAAUGAAAAUCCAUCGGCCGGUCUUCAACCGCGUGGCUUGUUCCUUUGUUCAGAGAAGAAGAUUGAAUUUCUGAAACCUAGAUCGACAUAGUUUCCCCAUUUUUUAUGUUUCAUUUUUGGAUAUUAGUGAUAUAGCCAGUAUAAGUACCUAGAGGGGAGUGAAUAGGUAUAUAAAGGAUUUUUCUCGAUAAUUGCACAAUACUAGACAAUUGAUAGAUUUGAGACAAACAAUAAUCAGAGUAAGAUUGAGAGAAGAGAAAAUUGAACACGUGGUUUAUAGUGGUUCGGCUUAUUUCAAGCCUACGUCCACUCUUCUGCACUGACAGCCUAUUGGCUGGAUUCCACUAUGAACAAAGAGAUGUUACAGCGUUGUUCUCCCUUGAUUUCUCGGUGUAGAUGAUCUACCACACUCGCUCAAGGUAUCACUACGUAUAGACACUCUUUGUGUAUACAAUUUCGCUCAAAAUGUAUCGACUAAUAAUCAAGGUGCUUCAGACUCUGGAAUUUCUCUAUCGAUCAUGCACUAAAGCAACUAGAACGUCUUCCUUUUAUACUCUUUUAUGCCAUCAUACCCGUUGGCACUUACCAAAGGAAUUCCUCCAAUCUAUCCGUUGGGCGGAAUCAAUCAAGAAGAUCAUUCGAGCUAUUAAAGGAACCUGACAAUAGCCCAUCAAUCGUGUUCGCCCAUACAAUCAGGAUCUUGGUUUUCAAGAAUAGAACCUUCCAAGAAUAUUUUGUCGACCAUCGGAUCUUCAAACGAUCUUGAUUACGAAUAAAAGAAUCCAUUAUAUUUAUCUAGCCAAGAGAUCUUCUCCAGAGGAUAGGACUGAAUCCUCAACCAAAUACUUGGGCUCUGGAUUGCCUUUGUCACUGGAUUAGAAAAACUGUCAAUGAGAAUAGUCUUGAGUCUUGAGUCUUGAGUGCUGAGUCUGGUAAUCUGAAAGUCUUCAGAUUCUAAACAGAAGGUCUGUAUUUAUCCAGACUAGACUGAUAGCAACGUUUUGUCAGCUUCAAAAUAUUCUGGAAAGAUUUCUCCAACAAUCUCCCCCUUUUUUAUGGUGACAAAACUUUCCUGUAGUUUUGAUCAACUUUGACCUGCAAAACAUUACUAAAGCAAUAUGGCUAUCUCAUAAAGAUUAAUAAAUCAACUAGAUUCCGCAUCCACAGAAAAUCGGUUAGUCUUUCAUGAGUAAGACCAUACAACAACACUUGAUAUAAAUGCAAACAGUCAAACAUCAAAAUCCACACCCAAGUCAGUUAAAUUCAAGUUCACACCCAAGUCAUGCUAAAAAACAAAUAUUCAAACACACAAAAGAAAUUUAAAGUCAAAGUUUAAAGAGUUCAAAUUGCAAUUCUCCCCAUUUUUGUCAUCAUUAAAAAGGUGAGAAAAGAGUCAAGUCUGCUUGGGAACGCGCACAAUCUGGAAAUCUCCCAUCGACUGGACGAUGCCUUCCAGCCUCUUCAAGUCUUCCCGUAGAUGAGCCACCUCUUCUCCUUUGGCAUUGGCUUGAAUUUGAAGAGCGAGGUCUUUCAUUUGAUCCGCCAGGGUAACAGAAGAUGCUUGUCCAGCAUUCUUCAGGACUUGAAGUUCACAGUCCAGAGCAUAGAUUUGACCCUGCAUUUCCAGAAGAACAUCAAGGAUACGACGAAAAUCUGCGGUAUUGUCCGUCUGUGUGCUCGCAUUUGCUCUUUCGGAUGGAGUGAAGGCAGACGAUGGAACUUCGGUGUAAUCGAGCAGAUUUGGUGUUGACGUAUCAUGUCCUUCCUCAGGCAUUUGAGAAGCCUGAAAAUCUUCUGGAUUUGCUGGUGAGCGACUCACGCCUUCACUGUUGACAGCAUGUGGUGUAGUCCUUCCUUGCUCGCCAUCUCCCCCUGUCUCUAGGACCUCAAUUGGGGAAGAGUGAUGGUCAUGCUCUUCAGCGUCUUGAUUCCCUUUCUCUCCGGCUUCAUCUGCAGACUUUUCUUUUACUGCUUCUCCUUCUUCUUCAGCUUCUUUCUCUUCCUCUUGUUGCUCAUUUGCUUCUCUGUUCUUUGCUUGUCCCUCUUCUUCUCUCUAUUCUUUUUCCUCUGCUUCUUUUCCUUUCUUCUGUCGUUCUGUUGAUUCAGGUACAGAACGUCUGGUCCUUUUCAAUGCAGAGAUAGUGAGAUCUUCCUCUUCAUCUUCAUCCUCCAAGAUAAGAGUUCUUAUCUUUUUGGAUGGAGCACCCAUGGGCUCUUUCCCUUUUCUCUUUGAUGCAGAAGAUACUGGAGUCUUCACUUUGAACUUCUCCAUUGCCUUAUUAAGCUCUUUCAAACGCAUUUUUGUCAGCAUUUUCAAACCCACCACCAUUUUGUCGCAUGGUCGAACACAAAGAGUAUGUGGAGGUUCAAUGUUCAAGUGUUUGAAGAUCUUGGUCACAAGACCUGGAUAAGGCAAUUGGCCCUUGUCCUUCACCAUUGCUCUGUACAUGUGAAAGAGAAUGGUGUGAGGGAGAGAGAACUUCUUCCUUGAAUUGAUUGCGUACAUCAAUUUCGCCUCGGAGUUAGACACGUCAGUCUUGGAUGUAGACUUUGGCCUGAUACAGUUGAUCACAAUUUUGUGAAGCAAGAUGUUGAUGGCAUGCAUUCUUGUGUAGGUAACUCUUCCUUCUGUGCUCCUAUCUUUGACAAGUUCCAGUGUGGUACGAGUGAUUGAAACCUUGAUCAGUUGAUAUCGUCCUCUUUCAACUCCAAUUAUGUCUGCCAACAUGUCCACAUCUACCACAUAGACUUGGUCUCGAACACUGAAGGAUAUUCUAUUCGCAUCUAAAAAGCUAAGAUUCGAGUAGAAGUAUGCUGUCAAUUGCGCAUAACCGUCUGUGGUAUCAGAGCAAAAUUGCUCAAGUUGAAGCAGAUUGAACUUCUCCCGUAAGUUCACAUUAAUGGCAUCCAAGAAAUCGAAAUCAACACUCCUAGGGUUUAUCACCCCUCAUUUCAACAGUCUGAAGAACAGAUUCUCCUGUUCCUUCGAUUUAAACAAAUCCAUCAUUUUUCCCCUCACUUUCGCAGCAACACCCAUUCUAGGUUGAAAUUCACUAAACAUUUUAUCAUCAUCGUUCCCGUCAGUCGGAUUCAGUCCCGAUACACGAGGGUCACUUGGAAUGUUCGCAAGUGCUUCCUCAGCCUUUCCUUUGGGAGCAAUUCCCAAAUCCUCCAUUCGUCGCAAAAAGAUAUACUCAUUCCCAUAAUUCUUAUCUUUAAGGAAGUCAUCUAUGUAGUUCAGCGGAGUCGCAAUGCUCUUCAAUGCACGAUAGAGCUUGUAAAUAAAAGAGUGUUUUUGGACUCUUACAGGGUCUGCGUCCUCGAUUAUUUCUUCCUCCGGUUGUUGACCCGCACCUUGUGAGGUAGAUAGUGAAGAGUGACGUGGUGGAGAGUGAAUCGGGCUUUGUUGCUGACUCGAUAAAUCUUCCUCUUCGGUGAGAUCGAAAUGGGUAGGCCCCUCCCUCAUUCUCUGUGGUCCCCUGUUCGCAAUUCUUGAAGACUUUCUCGAAGAAGACAUCCUUCCUUGUCGUUGAAAGAUUCCUUUACUCGCUUUCCCAAGAAAAGAUGACAACUUUCUCGAAGAUAAACACGAAGUAGAGACAGGAUUGGGAGGAGAAUGCCUUUUUAGGGUUUUGAAGUUUAAGCGAGGAAAACUGUAUAUAUAUACUGCUCAAUUUAAAAAGGAAAAACCAAUUGGCACAAAGGAAAAUGAACAGACGCCUCUUUUAAAAUCGAUAACUACUAAAUACAAGUUAAUCUUUUUGAAAAGACAAGAUUCAGUUUUUCACGGAAAUUAUAAAUUAACUGAACUAAUGAUCGUACCUUUUCGAGAUUGAAUAAAAUAACAACUUACAGUCUAUAGCCAUGAAUGUCUGAGUCUGAGGGUUGGAGAGUCUCUAGACUUUAACUUCCUCAAGCUUCAAAAUGUUGAGUCUGGAACGGAUAAAAUCGAAUUGAUUUUUCUCUAAAGGCUUUGUGAAUAUAUCCGCUAGUUGAUUUUUUGAAUCAACAAAUUGAAUCGAGAUUUCUCCAUUUUGAACAUGAUCUCUAAUGAAAUGAUGUCGAAUCUCUAUAUGCUUUGCUCUUGAGUGAAGGAUUGGAUUUUUAGUGAGAUUGAUUGCGCUGGUGUUAUCGCAUCUAAUCUCUGUGCAUGAGUCUUCAAUUCCAAAGUCUUGUAGCUGUUGUUUUAUCCAUAGAAUUUGCGAACAGCAACUUCUAAGAGCUACAUACUCUGCUUCUGUUGUUGAGAGAGCCACAGUGCUUUGUUUCCUUGAAAACCAAGACAUUGUCGUGCUUCCAAGCAACUGGCAAGUUCCCGAAGUGCUCUUUCUAUCAACUCUGCAACCGGCCAGAUCUGCGUCUGAAUAUUCCAGAAGAUUAAAGUCUCCAUUCUUAGGAUACCAAAGACGGAUGCUUGAAGAUGAAGCAACGUAUUUAAUAAUACGUUUCGCAGCACUGAGAUGGGAUUCUCUAGGAUCUGAUUGAAACCUAGCACAGAUGCAAACACUCAACAAAAUGUCAGGUCUAGAAGCAGUAAGAUAAAGAAGUGAACCAAUGAUGCUCCUGUACAACUUUUGAUCAACUUUCUUCCAUUCUUCAUCUUUGUCUAUCUUCAAAGAACUUGACAUCGGUAUGUCGGUCUUUUUGCACUUUUCCAGUCCAAACCUUUUGACAAGAUCAUUAGCAUAUUUUUCUUGAUAAAUAAAAGUUCAUUCCUUCAAUUGUUUUACUUGAAGACCAAGAAAGAAUGUUAACUCUCCCAUCAUACUCAUUUCAAACUCGUCCUGCAUAGACUUAGAAAAUUUCUUGCACAGACUUUCAUUAGAGGAUCCAAAAAUAAUAUCAUCCACAUAUAUUUGAACAAGUAAAAAACUUUUGUUUUCCUUUUUGAUAAAUAAAGUAGUAUCUACUUUACCUUUGACAAAACCAUUAUGUAUUAAGAACUUACUUAGUCUGUCGUACCAAGCUUGAGGUGCUUGCUUUAAACCAUAUAAGGCCUUUUUCAGUCUGAAGACUGAGUCUAGCUUCUUUGGGUCUUCAAACCUUGGUGGUUGUUCCACAUAAACUUCCUCAUGGAUAAAUCCAUUUAGGAAGGCACUUUUGAUGUCCAUUUUGAAUAACCUGAAAUUUUUGUAACAAGCAAAUGCAAGUAAUAGUCGAAUAGCUUCUAACCUUGCUACUGGUGCGUAAGUCUCAUCAUAAUCUAUUCCUUCUUCUUGCGUAUAUCCCUUGGCCAUGAGUCUUGCUUUGUUUCGUACGACUCUUCCUUUCUCAUUCAUCUUGUUCCUAAACACCCAUUUAACUCCAAUAACAGUUUUACAUUUUGGUUUAGAUGUCAAUUCCCAGACAUCAUUAAUGUUGAACUGUCUGAGCUCUUCUUGCAUAGCUUCAAUCUAGCUUUCAUCAGAUAAAGCUUCUUCUAUGCUCUUUGGUUCAAUUUCUGAAAUGAGAGCCACAGCACUAGACUCUUCACGCCUUUUGGAUCUGGUGCGAAUUCCUUCAUUAAUUUCGCCGAUAAUGAGAUCUUUGGGAUGACUGGACUUAUGCUUCCAGUUACUGGUUGAUUUGUCUAGUUGAUGAUCUCUUUCUUUAUUUGAAUCUUCACGAACAGCUUGAUGCUAGUCUUCCAGAGUCUGAGAUGCUUCUUGAGUUGUAAGCUUUGGAGGGUCUGGAGCAGGUUCAGACUCUUCAUGAUGAGUCUGACUGGAUUCAUCUUGCGUAGAGUCUUGAAAUUUGACAUUCAUUGACUCCUCCACAAACUGGCUCUUCUUGUUAUAGACUCUGUAGGCUUUGCUUGAUGUAGAAUAUCCAAGGAAGAUGCCUUCAUCUGAUCUUUCUUCAAACUUACCAACUCGAUCUUUUGCAUUUUUCAAUAUAAAGCAUUUGCAACCGAAUACAUGAAAGUAUGAAACAAUAGGCUUCUUAUCUUUGAAUAACUCAUAAGGGGUUUUCUCUAGAAUAGGUCUUAAGAAGACUCUAUUGAUGAUAUAGCACGCUGUUGAAACAGCUUCAGCCCAAAAUCGUGAAGAAAUCUUACUUUCAAUUAAAAGAGUUCUAGCCAUUUCUUGAAGAGAUCUAUUCUUUCUUUCCACAACUCCAUUUUGCUGAGGAGUAUAUGGAGAGGAGAACACAUGCUUAAAGCCAGAUUCAUCACAAAAUUUUGUAAAAUCUUGAUUUUCAAAUUCACUUCCAUGAUCUGUUCUUAUACUUGAGAUAACACAUCCUUUUUUCAUUUUGAACAUUUUUAGCAAAUUUUUCAAAAUACGAGAAGGUUUCGGACUUACUUGCAAGGAAAUAUACCCAAGUAAAGCGGGAGUAAUCGUCCAUAAUUACUAGGCAAUAUUUCUUACCUCCAAUACUCUGGGUUCUGGUUGGUUCGAAGAGAUCCAUAUGCAGCAACUGUAGUACAUGAUUAGUAGAGACAUGAUUUAUUGGCUUAAAUGAAUUUCUUACUUGCUUUCCCAGAAUACAUGGAGUGCAUGGAUCAGUCUUUUGGUAUGGUAAUUUGGGUAGACCUCAAACAAGCUACUUUGAUGAGAUUUUGGCUAAUUGCUUCAUGUUGACAUGACCAAGCUUUCUGUGCCAUAAGCUUGCUUCGUAUUGAAUUGAGAUUAGGCAUUGCGAUUCAUUUGGUUUCACAUCUAGAAGAUAGAUAUUUCCAUGUCUUCGACCCAUGAAAGACUGAGUAGAGUCUUUACUGGUUCCAGAACAUGUUCCUUCUUGAAAGAAGAUCUUAAAACCAGUAUCACACAAUUGGCUAAUGCUGAGAAGAUUGUAAUUGAGUCCUUCCACUAGGGAAACAUUACUUAUUGUGAGAUUUCCAAUUUUCACAGUUCCAAAUCCCACAAUACUUCCUUUGUUGUUUCCUCCAAAUGAAACUUUUCCACCAUUUACUUGAACAAGCUUUAUGAAGCAAUUUGAGUCUCCUGUCAUGUGUCUUGAGCAUCCACUGUCAAGAUACCACUUUACCUUUUUCUUGAUGGAGACCUGCAUUUAAAAGAGAGUCUCAAGCUUUCUUUGGUACCCAAAUUUUCUUGGGUCCUUUGGUGUUAGUAAGAUAAAUAGUAUUAGCCCAUACUUUCUUAACAGGUUUCUGAACCAUAGGACACUCUUUUUCAAAGUGAUCCGGACUGUUGCACUUUGAACACCUGAGGGCAUUUCGACCUACAGACUUUACAAAAACUUUCUUGAAAUGAUUUUUGUAAGCCUCUCUCGAGGGUCUUUCCUCAAUUCUUUCUUUUACUUUAGGAAAAUCAAUCAAGGGAAUUGUUUCUGCUGUCAUACCUAGACCGGACUUAUUGAAGUAAGGUCUUUGAGCUGAAAGAAUUUUUUCAAGUUUUUCGGACCUUAUUGAAAAUUUCUUUGAAAUAUUUGAUAAGUCAGUUUUUAAAAGGGCAUUUUCUUUCAAAAGAUUAUCUUCAUUUUCUUUAAGAGUGGAAACAUUCAAAUCUAAACUUUUAACUCUUUCUUCUAAAAUGUUUUCCUUUUGUUUUAGAGCUAAGUUUUCCUUUUUAAGUUCGGAAAUUCUUUUGAGAGAAGUCUUAAGACUAAAACACAGUUCAUCAAUGUAUUUAGAAACUUUGACAGGAAUUUUAAAAUUACUUGCCUCAAAUUCACUGUCUGAGUCUGAUCCAAAGUCUGAGUCUGAGUUUGAUUGUGCCAUCAAACAUAGGUUGUCAUAUUCAUUAUCACUUUCUUCACACUCUGUAUCACUUUAGGUUUCGGCUUUGAGAGCUUUUCGAAACUUUUCAGCUUUUCCUCUCUUCUUCUUCAGAAGAGGACAGUUGGGUCUGAUGUGUCCAUUUUUCUUACAUUCAAAGCAAACUAUAUCUUUGUUUGGUUCCUCAUCAUCAACAGACUUGGUCUGCUGUCUUUGAAAACUUUGUUUCUUUGAGUUGAACCUUCUUCCUUUUCUAUUCAGUUUUCUGAAUCUUCUUAUCAUGAGAGCAAGCUCCUCAUCGUCCAUAUCAUCUUCAGAAUCUGUAUCAUCAGAAUCAUCAUUUGAUUUUAAUGCAAUGGAUUUCUUAACUUUUGGAUCUUCGUCUUCAUUAAUUCGUUCCACUUCAUAAGAUUGAAGAGUUCCAAUCAGCUCGUCGACAGAUAGUGGCAUAAUUCUUUGCGUCUCUCUUAUUGAAGUCUUUAUGUGAUUCCAAUCCUUGGAGAGUCCACGCAGUAGCUUGUUUACCUUCAUGGGAUCAGAAAUUGUUUGUCCUUGAUUCUCAAGACCAUUGACAAUAUCUGUAAAAUGGUUAAACAUGUCAGUUAUAGAUUCUCCUGGUUUCAUUUUGAAGGCUUCAUAUUGACCGAGGAGAAUGUUAAUUCUGGUUUCCUUCACUCAAUCUGUUCCUUCAUAGGUGAUAUGUAAUAUGUCCCAAACUUCUUUUGCUGUAACACAAGAAGAUAUUCUGUUAUAUUCAGUUGGUGACAAAGCACAAUAUAAAGAGUAAAUUGCUUUUGCAUCGAGUGCUUGUCUCUUGAUUAUCUCUUCCUGAGUCAUUCCGCUGGUCUCAACAGUUUCUUUCCCUCUUUCAGAGAUUGAUGCAGCUAUAGGAGUAAUUCUUUUUUCUACAACGUCCCAUUCCAGAGGAUCCUUUGAUCGUAGGAAAGCUUUCAUCUUGUUCUUCCAGAUGUUGUAAUCCUUUCCAUCAAAGUAGGGUGGUCUGGUAUUGCUUUGCCCUUCCAUCAGCCCUGGUGCUAGCAUACUAGCCAUGGAUCUUUUACUCUGAAGUAAAACACUUCAAAUAAAGUGAGUACACGAGCUCUGAUACCAAUUGAUAUAGCCAGUAUAAGUACCUAGAGGGGGGUGAAUAGGUAUAUAAAGGAUUUUUCUCGAUAAUUGCACAAUACUAGAUAGUUGAUAGAUUUGAGACAAACAAUAAUCAGAGUAAGACUGAGAGAAGAGAAAAUUGAACACGCGGUUUAUAGUUGUUCGGCUUAUUUCAAGCCUACGUCCACUCUUCUGCACCGAUAGCCUAUUGGCUGGAUUCCACUAUGAACAAAGAGAUGUUAUAGCGUUGUUCUCCCUUGAUUUCUCGGUAUAGAUGAUCUACCACACUCGCUCAANNNNNNNNNNNNNNNNNNNNNNNNNNNNNNNNNNNNNNNNNNNNNNNNNNNNNNNNNNNNNNNNNNNNNNNNNNNNNNNNNNNNNNNNNNNNNNNNNNNNUCGACUAAUAAUCAAGGUGCUUCAGACUCUGGAAUUUCUCUAUCGAUCAUGCAUUAAAGCAACUAGAACGUCUUCCUUUUAUACUCCUUUAUGCCAUUAUACCCGUUGGCACUUACCAAAGGAAUUCCUCCAAUCUAUCCGUUGGACGGAAUCAAUCAAAAAGAUCAUUCGAGCUAUUAAAGGAACCUGACGAUAGCCCAUCAAUCCUGUUCGCCCAUACAAUCAGGAUCUUGGUUUCCAAGAAUAGAACAUUCCAAGAAUAUUUCGUCGACCAUCGGAUCUUCAAACGAUCUUGAUUACGAAUAAAAUAAUCCGUUAUAUUUAUCCAGCCAAGAGAUCUUCUCCAGAGGAUAGGACUAAAUCCUCAACCAAAUACUUUGGCUCUAGAUUGCCUUCGUCACUGGAUUAGAAAAACUGUCAAUGAGAAUAGUUUUGAGUGCUGAGUCUGGUGAUCUAAAAGUCUUCAGACUCUAAACAGAAGGUUUGUAUUUAUCCAGACUAGACUGAUAGAAACGUUUUGUCAACUUCAAAAUAUUCUGGAAAGAUUUCUCCAACAAUUAGACCAAUACACAAAUCGCCGACCUAGGAGUGGCACUUUGCAUUGUGAAACAUCAUUGUUGGAAUUAGCAAGUCACAAAUUUGCAAUUAAGUCCAGAGUUAUAAAAUUGAAAUGAGAAACACAAUCAGGAACAAUAGAAGGACAUAAGAAACUUAUAUGAUUUGAUUCGAAUAUUGAAACUUACAUACACGAAGAAAGUCAAUAAAUAAUCUACUAAUAAAUUGAAGAAUUAUAUUGUUACAGUCAUUCAAAUAUUAUGGUGUUUUCUAACCCUAGUAUAUACUCAAUAUCUUUAGUGUUUAACAACUCGAUCAAUCGAUCUACUUGCAAAUCUCUCCAAAGACAAAUGGCAUGCGCCCAUCUCUCGAACUCUUUGCUUCCCUUCAUCUCUCGCUUUCCACCUGUACAGGAUAAUGCAUGUAGAAACAAGGCAAAUGGCUCCCAUCCUCAAAGUCAUGCGCCUCUAGACAAUUAAUCAUGGGAUGCGCGCGCGACACCAUUAAUGCAUGCGAAAAAAUUGAGCUUCACCUCUGCCCUCCCUGAUAGAGCGAGACGAACGCAUCUGGAGCAAAAAGUCAAGGAGAUAAUAAAUGAGAGGAGAAAAGACAACGUAUGGAUUGGAUGGUGACCUUUGUCUUGAACGUGCAACACGUGCACUGUGCAGCCUCGACUAAUAAAUUUAAGAAUGCAAGAUUCGCCUUCAAUCAAUGCUGCCCAUUGGCCAUGAAAAAAAAAAGCUGGAUAAUUCUUCAUCUGCACGGAAAGAUUACGUGCAGAACAUGCGCCGUUUCUCGUUAAACGCUUCGCAGACGUGCUUCUCCCUUAUAAAUAAAUGUUACGCGUGGGUGUAAUUUAUUAAUCACACUACUUGAUGGUUAUUUAUAGAUAUCUUUAUAACCACCCUAUUACUUGGAUUGAUAUUAAGAUUAAAUUAAUCAUAUUUCAAUGAAUAAUACACUAAGUGAAAUUAUUUCAUAUGAAAAGAAAGAUACUCCUCAUGGUAUAAUUGAUCUUAUUCAUUCCACCCUUGAUAUGACAAUAGCUCUUCGUAUAUUUAAAUAUGGCUAUUUUUUUUUUUUUGGAAAAAUAAAACUUAUAACUUAUCAAGCAAUAGAUUGUGUCUCUUCCGUAACUAGAUCACGGGUCCUUCUUAAAGGAAAUUUGAUAUUGUUAUACAUAUCUUUGGUAUAGACAGAAUCUAGUCAUAAAGCGAACGACAAAUAUCAUUUCCGACUUACAAUUUGAGUGGCCUACCCAAUUGGUUGGUGGGGGAGCUCGAUUUGCUCUGCCACGAUUUUGGAUUCAUUUGUCGAGUCACGUCAUUGCUUUAGACACUAUUAUUUUUGUAUCCCAAGGGGAUUGGGAUUAGGGACUUCUUAUUCUUCUUGCAAUUGAGCCGGAAAAUCAUCGAAAUAGCAAGAAGCGGGACAAUAAACGUUCUUUCCCUUUCGCAUGUCAUCAUGCAGACUAGCAAUCCACCUUUUGACAGCCCGAGUAAGGAGGUCUGCUUCUUAAACGUGAGAAGAUUGGACACCAUCACUACUCUUGCCAACAAUCAUGGGCAAAAUCUUCAUGGAAAAGGUGCUUAGCGCUCCUAUUCUUGCCGAGGAACAAACUCUACUUUUAAAUUCCCAAUCCUCUACGCAUCAAACACAAUUUGGCCGGUCCGUAGCAUUGCCAAAUGAUUUUUUUUUUUUGGGUCGAAUAAGGAAAUAUUUCUAUUCAAGUAGGAAAGAAAGAACAACCCUUAACCAGGACAUGAGUACAUAUUAUAUCCAACAUAACUUGAGGAGGAGAAUGAACCUAGGUUGGUGAAAGGAGGCCUCAACGUGGGCCUUCACGGCCCAAUCAGCAAGGGCAUUUGCCUCACGCUGACAAUGCUUCACUGAGAGAUUUGAGAUACAGAGCAUCAGGGCUGCGCAUUUAGCGAACAGAGCACGACAAUCCCACGGCAGCAUAUGGCAAUGGUUGAUCAAAUUAGUUUCACGUGCACAUUGCAACAAGAAUCGUGUUUUGAUUUGUGGAGAACGUGGAAUUGAAUAAUAGAUUUUGUCCUUUAACAAGAGAUGGGACCGCCGGCUUCCUAUUUCUCGCUUAGGGCCAAACUGUACUACUCAACUUCGAAUCCUCUACCGCAUCAAACACGAUUUGAUUGGUCUGUAGCAUUACCAAAUAGUUUACCAAAGUAGUUCGUGUACAGAUUGUAACGAGAAUCGUGUUUUGAUGUGUGGAGAACGUGGAAUUGAAUAAUAGAUUUUGUCCUUUAACAAGAGAUGGGACCGCCGGCUUCCUAUUUCUCGCUUAGGGCCAAACUGUACUACUCAAUUUCGAAUUCUCUACGCAUCAAACACGAUUUGAUUGGUCUGUAGCAUUACCAAAUAAUGUUUACCAACGUAGUUCGUGUAUAGAUUGCAACAAGAAUGAUGCUUUGAUGUGUGGAGGACGGGGAAUUGAAUAAUAGAGUUUGUCCUUUAACAAGAGAUAGGACCAUUGGCCUCCUUAAUUUAGGAGCAGUUUUUCCAUGAAGAUUUUGUCCGUGAAUGUAGACCUCCUUACUCAAGCCAUUGAAAGGUGGAUCGCUAGUGUAUGCAUGAUGACAUGCAAAAUGGAAAUAACGUUCAUUGUCCUGCUUCUUACUAUUUCGAUGAUUAUCUAUGGUAUUGGUAGAACUCUUUCCGCUAAAUUGCAAGAAUAAUUUCUAUAGGAAUGACGUGAGUCCACAAGUGAAUUUAAGAUCGUGGCAGAGCCAAUCAAGCUCCACCAUUGUUGAUAUUUAAAAAAGACCAAUUUUUUUAUAUAACAAACAAGCAACAAACUUAGUCAAUAAUAACAAAGUUUGAUGAGCAACAAAAGUCAUAAGAACAGUGGCCAACUGGAAGAACAUCAAUGACUUGGCAAGAAAGUUAUUGAUAUCAAACAUCAGUAAUUGAUGAAAACCUUCACUGUGAAUGAAAUCAUCGGCAUCGACAUGUAACUAACAUGUAGCAAUAUUUUCGGAUAUGUAACUUAUUUAGGUAAGCAUUAUAAGAAUGUAGGUAACUUUUGAGUCAUUGUGCUUAGUGCCUCUAUUUUUGGAUCUUUGUAAUGUAAUUUCUCGUAACUGUAGAUAGGAAUAGGAAGUUAUUUGUUUUGAAAUCAAUAACCAUUUGUAACCGUUGAUGGUAGGUUUAAAUAGCCAUGUCAUACUCUUUUUUUUAAACCUAUCCACUCAAUCAUAGAACUUAUCAUUCUUUGCAAAUUUAUCCUUUUUUUUUAUAUAGUGGCGAUUGCCUCUAGUCUUUGUACCUUUAAAUUUCUUGUCAUUUACUUUCUUGUCCAAACUCAACAAAUCCAUUUAUAUUCGAAAGGUACUUCAUCAUUGAUUCAUUUUUUAUGAAACAUCUUUUUGGAUAUUUUGAAAGGUAAUUUGUUGUCGAUUCAAUUUGAGCAAAACAACCACCAUCCAAGUAGGAAAUUUAAAUUUUAAGUCAAAAACACGUACUUUAUGAUUAUACUCAGCUCACUACAAAGAGAUAAUCAUCAGACCGCAUGUAUGAACAGAGCCCAAUGUGAUUGGUGUUGUCUCAAAACUAGUCCAACUAAAAAGGCGGUUAUCAACACAAUUUGCCUAUUGGGGUAAUGACACAAAUGGUUUUCAACAUUGGCUCAAUCAAUGUGUAAUGUGGUUUUUGAAAUUUUAAUUUAUUUAAUGCGAUUCCUGAAUUGUAGUUUAAUGUGCAAUGUUGUGCCUGAACUUUUAAUUUUCUCAAUGUGGUCCUGAACUUUUUGUGUAUAUUCAAUUUAGUCCAUGAACUAUAUGAAAAAUGUUAAAUAUUUAUCAUUUCAUUAAUUCAAAUUCAAGAAGAACAUUGAAUAUUUUAUAUAACUCGGGGACUAAAUUAAAUAUGUACCGAAACUUUAGGAAUCACAAUGAACUAUGUAAAAGUUCAUGAACCAUAUUGCACAUUAGGCGAAAAUUUAAGAACCACAUGGAAUAAAUUAAAAGUUUUGAAACACAUUGCACAUUGAGACAAAGUUUAAGAACCAUUUGUAUCAUUUUCUCUCUAUAAAUAGUCAUCAAGUAGUGAUUUUCUACAAUGCAAAUAGCCACUCCUUGGUCUUCAUCUUGUGUAUUGGCCUGAUAUCCACCAACGAAGCAUACAAAAAAAGGGAGAUAUGUCGGUUCCAGUUUCAGCAAUUCCAUCAUCUUCUCCGAACAAAGAAUCAAGCCGCGUGGUUGAGCGCCGCCGGGCAGAUUAUCAUCCAAGCAUAUGGGGCGAUUACUUCCUCGUAUAUGCUUCUCCCACCAACUCCAUGGUUAGCAGUUUCUCAUAUGGUCAUGUGAAUGAGCCAAUAAUACACGUGUAUAAUGCUUGCUUUUAUUGAAAGUAGCGUCUAUAACAUAUGCAGGAGUUCAAGUACGUUGGAAGAGUGGAGGAACAGAUUGAGGGAUUGAAAGGAGAGGUGAGGAAGAUGCUGACUGAUGCCGUGAAUAAGCCCUCACAAGUGCUGCACUUAAUCGAUCAAAUCGAACGCUUGGGAAUUUUCUACCAUUUCAAACGUGAAAUAGACGAGCAAUUAGAACAAAUCCAUAAAAGUUACUCUCAACUUGUGCAUGGAGAUUUUAAGGGUGAUGACCUUCACAUGAUCGCUCUUAUCUUUCGAUUACUACGACAACAAGGUUAUAAUGUUUCAUCAGGU
This 42681-nucleotide long non-coding RNA is filed under the name Eucalyptus grandis. Its description in RNAcentral is "long non-coding RNA (EGRA_LNC002547)". Lineage: Eukaryota; Viridiplantae; Streptophyta; Magnoliopsida; Myrtales; Myrtaceae. The record is from RNAcentral.